This 96-nucleotide Y RNA is filed under the name Podiceps cristatus (great crested grebe). It matches the Rfam family "Y RNA". Rfam says of the family: Y RNAs are components of the Ro ribonucleoprotein particle (Ro RNP), in association with Ro60 and La proteins. The record is from Rfam by way of RNAcentral. Lineage: Eukaryota; Metazoa; Chordata; Aves; Podicipediformes; Podicipedidae.
AACUGGUCUGAUGGUAGUGGGUUAAAAGAAAUUAUUAGUGUUAGUUAAACUUGUUUUUUUGUAUUCCACCCCAUCACUAAUGCUGUCUGGUCUUUU